GUAGGGAAUAUUGGACAAUGGGCGGAAGCCUGAUCCAGCCAUGCCGCGUGGAGGAUGACUGCCCUCUGGGUUGUAAACUCCUUUUGUACAGGAAGAAACCUCCUCAUUUAUGAGUGAGCUGACGGUACUGUAAGAAUAAGCACCGGCUAACUCCGUGCCAGCAGCCGCGGUAAUACGGAGGGUGCAAGCGUUAUCCGGAUUCACUGGGUUUAAAGGGUGCGUAGGCGGUUUUAUAAGCCAGUGGUGAAAUCAACGGGAUAAAACUGUUAACUGCCAUUGAUACUGUAGGACUUGAAUAUGAGAGAGGUAGGCGGAAUGUUGCAUGUAGCGGUGAAAUGCUUAGAUAUGCUACGGAACACCAAUUGCGAAGGCAGCUCACUAAGGCGAUACUGACGCUGAGGCACGAAAGCGUGGGGAUCGAACAGGAUUAGAAACCCGGGUAGUCC
Molecule: ribosomal RNA, 446 nt
Filed under: uncultured bacterium
Lineage: Bacteria
Description: partial 16S ribosomal RNA
Rfam family: Bacterial small subunit ribosomal RNA
Source: RNAcentral